Molecule: long non-coding RNA, 1129 nt
Organism: Ornithorhynchus anatinus (platypus)
Lineage: Eukaryota; Metazoa; Chordata; Mammalia; Monotremata; Ornithorhynchidae
Exons: 4
Source: RefSeq, a predicted model, not a curated record
CCUCCAUUUCUCCUCCUUCCCUUUCUUCCCCAAAAGGAAAAAAUAUUCUUUCAAUAGCACCCCAACAUUCGCGGACCCAAGGCUUCCAGCCAAGCUAGCUCUAACAUCCUGGACGCUCAACACCCUGAGUUCGAAGAGAUGGUGUCUGCACAGGAGAAUCAAGACAGAUGUUCAGGGUGGAUGACUAAAACUCCUCUUUGUACAAAGCUCCCAGGAGACCUGAUGUGCCCAAGGUCCAGACUGAAAUGUUGCAAGAAAUUUCAAGUGUCCGUUUCACCCCAAGCCUCCGGGAGAUGAGGAGAAAGCAGCAGAGGAGGAAGGAGGAGACUCGAACAUCCCGCCCACGGCUGCACCAACCAAACCGAGAGCCUUAACCGUGGGAGUCGACCUGUCCGUCGGGGAGAAAAUAAAAUAAGUAUCUCCUCAUAUCCUAACCAAAACUAAUUUGGAAACUUUUACUGCUAGUAUCGAACGUUCUGAACUCUUAAGCCUCUCUCACAUAUUCAUAUUCAAGAUGAAAAAGUAUUUGGCCUUUCCCUCCCAGAAUAUAUCCCCAAUCCAUUUUCAGGGGAAAGAACUCUGCUGGUUAGGAUGUUGCUUACACUCCUUAAAAUUCAGACGGGAGAGAGACAGGAGCGACUGGGAGCCUUUACUUAGGAAGAAAUAAUAAGGAAAAUAAAAGAGACAUUAAAAACAUAGUACUGUUAGGCCAUUUAAAAGUCGAUGCAGAAACGGAACCUGACAGUAAAUUUCCAAGGGAAAUUUACCUCAUGUCUCCUUAAAAAGAAAGAAUAAAACGUCUUAGGAUGAGGCUCCCUGAUUUAGAACGGUUCACUCUCCUGACUGUUGGGAUUGGGUUUAUAUUCCGUAUGAGGUUUGGCUUUAGUUUAAGAGAGACAAGCAAAUGCUUGCACAUCUUCGAGCGGUGUGAUUUGAAGGAGAUCUGGAAAAAAGUGAAAACAGUGGUAGAGUCUGUGCUCGUGGGCUCAACCCCAGGUCGAUAUUUUUCAGAAACUUAACGGGCCUACUUCUGGACGCGCCCCAUCCGGCCAGCAUCCAGCCAGGCAGAGGUGCGGCCUCAGAUGUCAGUAGAAGCCGAUCUGACGGGAGGGUGAGGAGGGCUAGAUGA